Glycine soja is the source of this 3533-nucleotide long non-coding RNA. RefSeq lists it as uncharacterized. Lineage: Eukaryota; Viridiplantae; Streptophyta; Magnoliopsida; Fabales; Fabaceae. The transcript is spliced from 4 exons. The record is from RefSeq and is a predicted model, not a curated record.
AUGCGAGGGACUACCGCUCACCAAAACUGAGAUGGAAGCUGAUUUUAAGCACCCCUCCACCCAUUGAAUCCACUUAGAACAAAAACCCAUCCUCCUCAGCUUGUAAAGCAAGAAAUCCCAUGAUAUUGAGUCAUAUGCCUUCUCAUAAUCAACUUUAAAAAUAAUGCUUGACUUCUGCCCUCUCCUAGCUUCGUCGACCACCUCAUUUGCAAUUACCGAGCUAUGUAGCAUAUGUAUUCCUUUUAUGAAUGCGGAUUGUCUUUCGUCUAUGAUAAAAAGGGAUGACCUUCUCCAAACGGUUGGCCAGAAUCUUUGCCACUAUCUUGUAUACACACCCUAUCAGUGAGAUGGGCCUGUAGUCAUUCAGAAGCUGUGGCUCUCGUACUUUGGGAAGAAGUGCUAUAAAUGAUGCAUUGCAUCCCCUGGGAAAUUUUCCAUUAACAUGGAAUUCAUCUAAGAACCUCAAAACAUCGGGUUUAAUGAGAUGCCAAAAUUUCUUGAUGAAUUUGAAAUUUAGUCCAUCUGGACCUGGACUUUUCUCACUCCCACAUUCCCAUAAAGUGCUUGUCACCUCAACUUCCUUGAAUCGUUCCACUAGCAUAUCAUUAUGGUGCCCAUCUAUGGUCUGGAAGAAUAUACCGUCCAACUGUGGUCUUUCUUGGUCCGAUUCUUGAAAUCGCUGCAUAAAGAAAGAUCUUAUUGCGUCUUUGACUCUUGCCAGCUCUUCAAUCCAAGAUCCAUCAAUCAUCACUCCUUUGAAGCAACUAUUUCCGCGGCUGACAUUCAUCAACAAAUGAAAAUAUCUUGAGUUACAAUCUCCUUCUGCCUUAGUAAGGACUCAUGUGAUUGGGCCGCUAUCCACAGGUCUUCUUAAAGCUGCUUCCUGGUCAACAUUUCUUGAGGGGUUAAGUGUCUGUCACUUGUGUCAUUCUCCAACUUGUUUAGCUCCUCCUCAAUUUUCUUGAAUUAUUUAAAGGUAUCACCGAAAUGUUCUUUGUUCCAGGCCUUCAUACUUUGCUUCAAUUUUUUGAUUUUUUCUUUAAGCACAAAUCCUCCCCAGCCACUUUGCUGAUUAGAUCUCCAUGCCUCUUGAAUAGUUUUCUUGAAUGAAUUGUCUGAAAGCCAACAAUUGAGGAUCUUGAACGGUUUGGGACCCCAAUCAACAAAUUUGGAUGACAGCAUGACUGGGCAAUGAUCAGAGAAGUUUCUAUCCAAUGCCUGCUGAGUGCUACCAAGCCAUUUGGCGAGCUACUCUGGAGAAACCAAGAAUCUGUCCAACUUGCUCCUAACAGUUCUGUUUGGUCUAAACCAAGUGAAUUUUCUUCCCAACCAUGGCGCUUUAUUUACCUCCAAUUUUUCAAUCCAUUCAUUGAAGUCAUUGAUACUACUUUCCCCUAUCUCCCUUUGACAUACGCUCAGUCUUUCAGAUGGAUCUCUGAUAUUAUUAAAAUCUCCCAAGAUACACCAUAGUCCCCCUUGGCUCUGGCUCUUCAUCUGCUUGACAUUAUCCCAUAGAACUCUUUGAUUAUGGAUGUCACAUGGUGAGUAAAUGGUGAUGAUAUGAAUCUGUUGAGUCUCUAGGAGCUUCUUUACUACCAAUAAUAUGAACCCAGGUCCACUAACUUUUUUUUCUAGCUUGAAAGUUUUAUCACUCCAGAUGCAUAGAAUUCCACCUGCUGAAUUUAAUGCAGGUAGUGCCUCCUAGCUGACUUCAGAGUCCCCCACAAAGCCUGACAUGUGGACUUAUCUAUAAUCUCCUUUUUCGUCUCUUGUAUACAUAACAUGUCAAUAUGCCACAUAUUGACCAAUCUUCUAAUUGUUGGUCAUUUGACCCCCCUCCCUAGCCCUCCCUCUGACAUUGUAUGAGAUGAUGUUCAUUGGAUACCCCUCCUACUUCCCACACUCUGUGCCUCUAUUUUAUCCCUUUUCUCCAUUUCCAUUAAUUUGCUCACAUAAUUGCUUUGCUGUGGCCCACAAGUGACCCCAAUUCCUUUGCCAUUUCCCAUAAUGCUGCAGCUUCUUGCUUCUGCUUGGUAGCACCUUCUUCCUCCUCAUAGUCUAUUUGAAUUGGGCUUUUAUCUAUGUUAGAACUGAUUCCUACUUGGUCUAAACCCGCUUUGUCCUCGACCCCGAGCUGAUGAUGGUUUGGGCUAUGGAUGGUGGUCUUUAAUUUUGGGUUUGUGGCUGAAAUGGGGCCUUCUGUGCUGCAGCCCAGGUGCAAUUUCUUUUGGAAUUUUUUUUUUUCGUGAGUAAACCUGCAAAUUAGGUGAAUGAGAGCUAAAGAGGUGUUGAUGAAGUGAAGUGAGGGGGGUGUGGAUAGCAAGGCCCGAUCCACCUUCCAUAUUCUUCUCUUGCUGACGUGGCUGGUUAUAAAUAAUAAUACUCGUUCCCUUCACGCUGCCAUACCUCAUCUUUUCGCUAUUUUCUGCUUCUCCCCCUCAUUCGAUCCUCUCUGUAUUGGUUAUUUCCUUGGUACCCUGCAUGUUUCCUUUUUUAUGUAAGUUGACUUCUGAUUCCGUCUGAGCGUCUAGCUGUCGGUGGGUAUGGGUCUCCACUGUGUCGAUCAAGCACGUUUGUCUGCCCUGACGUAUUUCAUUAGCCGUUGGGCCAGAAAACCACUGGGUAAUGCAGUUGUCUUGUGGUUGCUGAUUAUCCUUUGUUCAGUGGAUAAUUGGGUGGUAGCGUGUAACACUGUUCCCGACGGCAGCGCCUCCACCUCCUCCUCUUUGGCUGCAGCCGCGAGCUCCUCUUCUUUAGCUUCGUACACCGUCGAGUCCUGCUCGGUCGAGUUCACCGCCACGUCCUGUAUGGGCUUCGUCGAGGUCACGUCCCGCUCGGCCCAGGUCAUUGUCGGUGUCUCGGCUUGUUUGACCAUCGUCGGCGACGCUUCCUGCUCAGCUGCCAACAUCAUCUCGCGACGGUUAGGUAAUUGCCCAGUGUCAAACAUUUGCAUGUGAAGACAAAGGCAGAACUUAAAGAAGCUAUGUGUGUAGCACAACAUGAGCAAAUGGACUGUAUGGUUGAGAUUGAGAGUUCCAUUAAUGCCAAUGCCAAUUUCCACAGUCAAGGCUCUAUAAAGGACAAGUUCUAUUUAUACAAAAUCCGUGAAAUACAGUGUUCUAAAUAUAGAAUUGCACUUGAAGCUCCGCCAACAUCAACAUUUGUUACUGAUAGUUGUAAGGAAUUUUAUAGAGAAGGAUUUAUUUUAUCUUUAGUGCUUGAAGAGGGAAGCGUUGGUUAUGGUGAGGUUGGUAUCAGUUUCAUGUUAUAUCAUGUCUUGUAUCUUGCUUUACAUUAAUGUCUUGCUUUAUAAUAACGUUGGGCUGUUAAAAAACUGAAGAUUAGAUAAAAGCUAAAUUUCUUAGUAAAUGUAUUUAUAGAGUUAGAGUUCAUAGCUCUAAUACAAGAUAUGGAUAGCGGUGUGGAGUGGCUGCCACAAAAAAAUGAGAUAGUAGAUAGUGAGAUGACCGCUACUCUAAUAUUUUCGUAAAUGUUAAAUAAUUAUUAUUAUAUAUAUACUCUUUGGAGUCAAA